RNAcentral lists this ribosomal RNA (464 nucleotides) under uncultured Bacteroidales bacterium. RNAcentral describes it as "bacterial SSU rRNA". It matches the Rfam family "Bacterial small subunit ribosomal RNA", at positions 335 to 795 of the family's 1533-position model. The record is from RNAcentral. Lineage: Bacteria; Pseudomonadati; Bacteroidota; Bacteroidia; Bacteroidales.
UUCCCUACGGGGGGCAGCAGUGAGGAAUAUUGGUCAAUGGGCGCAAGGCUGAACCAGCCAUCCCGCGUGCAGGAAGACAGCGCUAUGCGUUGUAAACUGCUUUUCCAGGGGGAGAAACUUGCGCACGUGUUGCGCAAUUGACGGUACCCUGGGAAUAAGCAUCGGCUAACUCCGUGCCAGCAGCCGCGGUAAUACGGAGGAUGCGAGCGUUAUCCGGAUUCAUUGGGUUUAAAGGGUGCGUAGGCGGACUAUUAAGUCAGUGGUGAAAUCCUGCAGCUUAACUGCAGAACUGCCAUUGAUACUGAUAGCCUUGAGUUUGGUUAAGGUAGGCGGAAUGUGUAAUGUAGCGGUGAAAUGCUUAGAUAUUACACAGAACACCAAUUGCGUAGGCAGCUUACUGAGCCGACACUGACGCUGAGGCACGAAAGCGUGGGGAUCGAACAGGAUUAGAUACCCCAGUAGUC